Salvelinus fontinalis (brook trout) is the source of this 1850-nucleotide long non-coding RNA. RefSeq lists it as uncharacterized. Lineage: Eukaryota; Metazoa; Chordata; Actinopteri; Salmoniformes; Salmonidae. The transcript is spliced from 4 exons. The record is from RefSeq and is a predicted model, not a curated record.
AGUUUGGCAUGACGUCAGAUGAGAUAGAUUUCAUCGUCCACCAGGAGACGAUUCGUCACAACGCACACCCUUCCCGUCCUGAGAUACGGGGGUUUCCCCAAAUCAGUCUGCACAUCGGUCAAUAACGUGGUCUGCCAUGGCAUACUUGACACCCGACAACUACAAGAUGGAGACAUUAUCAACGUUGAUGUGACCUGGUAUAAUCCACUCCAAUGGUUUCCAUGCCAUGUCCCUACUUUAUUGGACAUGGCAUAGGCUCCUACUUCCAUGGUCACCCAGACAUCUUGCACCACGAGCCCAUUUUGAUGGAGGGAUCGUUAGAGUUGAGAAUCCUGAAGGACAAGUAGACAGCGGUCUGCCGACGACAAGAGGUCAGCCCAGUUUGAACACACGGUAGCCAUCACCUCUGGUGGAGUGGAUAUUCUCACCAAACUACCUGAGGAGGACGAGGCGAUGCCAAUUGAAGUCUAAUCACUGUUCUCUGCUCAACAACCCUGCCACAUCCACAUCUAUGAAGAGGUAAAGCACCAAACUGACCCAGGACCAGGACUUAGCACCACGGAGAGGAUAGGAAACUGGGCAUAGAUAUGACUCAAAUGAGACUGCACUAGUGCAUUAUUUUCUAUGUCUGCUGUGUAGAAAAAUAAGUUAUAUUAUUUAAAUAAAAUGUUUGUUCACUUUCAAUUAGUAAACCAGAUCUGUCUGAAUAAAUUAUUUCAUUAAAGCAUAUGGUUAUUUUUCUAAUUCUACAAAAUAUCCUAAUUGACAUUUCACUUUUUUGUCUGACAAAAUAUUUGGAAAUAAUAUGUGGUUUAUGUUGCUAUAAUUUAUUUGGACUAGGACUUUUCCAUUCAUGAAAUCAAAUUGAUUACAAUCAGAGGAGCACAUUAUUUUCUAUCACUGACAUCAUCAUAAGAUUAUCUUGUGUUAACGUUGUUGGGACUGCAAGGUUUGCAGAGUAUCGUACGUCUACUGGGCUGAUUAUGUCAUGAUGUGAUGUUAUUGAUGCUGUGUUUGGCUCCAUAAUAUUUUCUGAUCUACUAAUAAUCUCUAAUGACAUCAACCUCCAGCUCUACAUUGUUAGCGACUUAUUUUGUACUCGCUCUUGUUCAAUUAGAAACCAUGUCCUAUUUAUAUCACUGAGGAGACUGAUUCUACUGACGCAAUGUAUUUUAAUGGGAUCGGGUAGGAUUUUGUCAGUCAAAGACUUUUUCUACUUACCCAGAGUCCGAUUAAGUCAUAGGUACUACAGUAGCAUUAGCGCAAAUGCUAACUAGCUUUAGCACAAUAUCUGGAAGUCUAGCUGUUCCAAUCGACUGCCAGUCAUUGCGCUGACGCUAGUUAGUAACUUCCUACAAACUGCACGCAGAGAUAUAAAAAUGGUAUCCAUGAGUUCAUCUGACUCUGGGUAAGUAGAGAAAGAUUGCCAAAAUCUCGCACUAUCCCUUUAAAAACCUCUUCUGGAUCUUACCCCCCCUUUUUCUUUUAUCGCCUAAAAUGACAUACCUAAAUCUAACUGCCUGUAGCUCAGGACCUGAAGCAAGGAUAUGCAUAUUCUUGAUACCAUUUGAAAGGAAACGCUUUGAAGUUUGUGGACAUGUGAAAUUAAUAUAGGAGAAUAGAACACAUUAGAUCUGUUCCAUCUUUGAAAUGCAAGAGAAAGGCCAUAUUAUCAGAUAGGAGUUUAGGCGCAAUUUAGAUUUUGGCCACCAGAUGGCAGCAGUGUGUGUGUGUAAAGUUUCAGUCUGCCAGGAGUUUUUCCAAAUGAGCCGAAUUCAUCAAUUGAUACAUCUUCAAGUACAUAACUAUAGAGAACAUACAAAAUGCUAUGGUAAUAAAAAAAAAUAAGU